UACAGAGGUCCCAAGCGUUGUUCGGAUUCAUUGGGCGUAAAGGGUGUGUAGGUGGCGCCGUAAGUCGGGUGUGAAAUCUCGGGGCUUAACUCCGAAACUGCAUUCGAUACUGCGGUGCUUGAGGACUGGAGAGGAGACUGGAAUUCAUGGUGUAGCAGUGAAAUGCGUAGAGAUCAUGAGGAAGACCAGUGGCGAAGGCGGGUCUCUGGACAGUUCCUGGCACUGAGGCACGAAGGCCAGGGGAGCAAACGGG
This 253-nucleotide ribosomal RNA is filed under the name uncultured bacterium. RNAcentral's name for it is "partial 16S ribosomal RNA". It matches the Rfam family "Bacterial small subunit ribosomal RNA", at positions 524 to 776 of the family's 1533-position model. The record is from RNAcentral.